UUGGUUAGAACUCAACUCAGGUCGUGACCGCAACGGUACGACACUUCUGCUCGCCACGCCGGCAGCGAGCGCACACCGGCAGAAAGAAUCUGCCCGACCUCAACGAGGUCGACGGGACAUUACAGUCAAC
Molecule: non-coding RNA, 130 nt
Organism: Pseudomonas putida
Lineage: Bacteria; Pseudomonadati; Pseudomonadota; Gammaproteobacteria; Pseudomonadales; Pseudomonadaceae
Source: Rfam